GCCGCCGCUCGGUCUCGCCGCUCCUUCUCACACUGAAAUUGCCCGCUUCGCAGCCCGGCUUCCCCGGUUGCUAGGCAGAUUUCGCCUCGCACACUUCCGGGUUGAGCAGCGUCUCGUCGAGUGGCGGCGCCGCAGGCCAAUGAGGUCCGGCCGAGGCUCCGGGGAUCCGCGCCCCACGGAGGGCGUGGCCAGCCUUACGAUGGACAGGACCCGACAGCCAACGAGAGCGUGAGCCGGCUGGCCCUCGGGAUCGCGCCGGCGAUCUGGGCGGGCCCGAGGAGUUUGUCCCAAGGACAAAUGCUGGUCUGGAUGCAGAUGAUCCUCCUUCUGAAGCAUUGUCAGAAGGCUUAGGUUCCUGAUUGGGGUUGUCACCCAUGGAUAUUCAGAGGCCUGUGAUCAAGUGUCUGGAUGCUGUGGUGAGUAGUAAGGUGAUUGGGAAAAGACAGACCAACAAAGAAAUGAAGAAGAUAAUUUCAACUACUGAUGAUGAAGAUGAAGAAAAGUAAUCAAGGGUGUGACACAGUGACUGGGGAGGCCUCUGGCCAGGGUAGGAGUCAUGGGCUUGCAAGCAGGUGGGUUUGAGCAGAGACCUGAAUCUUACUAAACUGGAAACAAACAUUCUGGGCAGAGGGGAAUAGUGAGUGCCACAGUCCUGAGAUGGCAACAAGUAUGGGACAGAGCGGCUGGCAAGCUGGUGGGCAGGGAUGACGUAGGAGAGGCUGUCUGAUAUUUUGGGCUUGGGAGGAGGUGGGAUUUUAUUCUAAUGGGAAGAAGGAAGCGUACUGCAAAGCCCUAUGAGUUCUGUUUCCCCACCAGUAAAAUUCCUUACUUGGACUCAGUAAUCUUCCAGCUCUCUGAUUGCAGGCUUACGUUCCCUUAUUCAAGGAUAUUAUUGAGGCUCCAGGGUGGCCAGACGUAGCAAAUGAAAACAUAUGACACCCAGUCAGAUUUGUUUGUUUGUUUGUUUUUUUAAUAAGAUUUUAUUUAUU
Molecule: long non-coding RNA, 989 nt
Organism: Canis lupus familiaris (dog)
Lineage: Eukaryota; Metazoa; Chordata; Mammalia; Carnivora; Canidae
Exons: 3
Source: RefSeq, a predicted model, not a curated record